GGGUCAGUAGGUUGGUCGUGCCACCGGUACGUACUGGUCUUACUGAUUCCUCCUUCCUGAAGAACCGUAAUGCCAUUAAUUUGGUGUUGCGGGGAAACAGGACUGUUACUUUGAAAAAAUUAGAGUGUUUAAAGCAAGCUAACGCUUGAAUACAUUAGCAUGGAAUAAUGAAAUAGGACGAUCGAUCCUAUUUUGUUGGUUUCCAGGAUUGACGUA
This 216-nucleotide ribosomal RNA is filed under the name Glomeromycotina sp. RNAcentral's name for it is "partial small subunit ribosomal RNA". The stretch from base 40 to 216 matches the Rfam family "Eukaryotic small subunit ribosomal RNA", at positions 686 to 864 of the family's 1831-position model. Lineage: Eukaryota; Fungi; Glomeromycota. The record is from RNAcentral.